CUGGUUGAUCCUGCCAGUAGUCAUAUGCUUGUCUCAAAGAUUAAGCCAUGCAUGUCUAAGUGUAAAUACGUCUACACUGUGAAACUGCGAAUGGCUCAUUAAAUCAGUUAUCGUUUAUUUGAUGAUCUCUUGUUACAUGGAUAACCGUAGUAAUUCUAGAGCUAAUACAUGCGUCAAGCCCCGACUCACGAAGGGGUGUAUUUAUUAGAUUCAAAGCCAACCGUGUAAAAGCGUACCUUGGUGAUUCAUAAUAACUUGUCAAACCGCACGCCCUUGAGGCAGCGGUGAUUCAUUCAAAUUU
RNAcentral lists this ribosomal RNA (301 nucleotides) under uncultured eukaryote. RNAcentral describes it as "SSU rRNA". It matches the Rfam family "Eukaryotic small subunit ribosomal RNA", at positions 4 to 306 of the family's 1831-position model. The record is from RNAcentral.